Molecule: ribosomal RNA, 523 nt
Filed under: uncultured Streptomyces sp.
Lineage: Bacteria; Bacillati; Actinomycetota; Actinomycetes; Kitasatosporales; Streptomycetaceae
Description: partial 16S ribosomal RNA
Source: RNAcentral
GUUACACCAGGAAUUCCGAUCUCCCCUACCGAACUCUAGCCUGCCCGUAUCGAAUGCAGACCCGGGGUUAAGCCCCGGGCUUUCACAUCCGACGUGACAAGCCGCCUACGAGCUCUUUACGCCCAAUAAUUCCGGACAACGCUCGCACCCUACGUAUUACCGCGGCUGCUGGCACGUAGUUAGCCGGUGCUUCUUCUGCAGGUACCGUCACUUUCGCUUCUUCCCUGCUGAAAGAGGUUUACAACCCGAAGGCCGUCAUCCCUCACGCGGCGUCGCUGCAUCAGGCUUUCGCCCAUUGUGCAAUAUUCCCCACUGCUGCCUCCCGUAGGAGUCUGGGCCGUGUCUCAGUCCCAGUGUGGCCGGUCGCCCUCUCAGGCCGGCUACCCGUCGUCGCCUUGGUAGGCCAUCACCCCACCAACAAGCUGAUAGGCCGCGGGCUCAUCCUGCACCGCCGGAGCUUUCCACCACCAGACCAUGCGGUCGGUGGUCGUAUCCGGUAUUAGACCCCGUUUCCAGGGCUUGU